AAGAAAACAAGAAAAAUACAAAACGACAAAAAAGAAAAAAAAAAGAGACAAAAGAAAAAAGAAAGAAAAAUAAAAAAAAUCAAUUAACUUAUCUCAGUGCAGGAAAUUAAAGCAGAAAGAUUCUCAGCCAAACCAAUCAACUUUUGGCUCCAAUCAAUCAAAUACUUUCAAGGCCGAAAUUGGAGACUUUCAAGGCACA
Molecule: long non-coding RNA, 199 nt
Filed under: Salvia miltiorrhiza (redroot sage)
Lineage: Eukaryota; Viridiplantae; Streptophyta; Magnoliopsida; Lamiales; Lamiaceae
Description: long non-coding RNA (SMIL_LNC008877)
Source: RNAcentral